Molecule: ribosomal RNA, 548 nt
Filed under: uncultured bacterium
Lineage: Bacteria
Description: bacterial SSU rRNA
Rfam family: Bacterial small subunit ribosomal RNA
Source: RNAcentral
AAUAGAUACCCGGGUAGUCCACGCCGUAAACGAUGAGUGCUAAGUGUUAGGGGGUUUCCGCCCCUUAGUGCUGCAGCUAACGCAUUAAGCACUCCGCCUGAGGAGUACGGUCGCAAGACUGAAACUCAAAGGAAUUGACGGGGGCCCGCACAAGCGGUGGAGCAUGUGGUUUAAUUCGAAGCAACGCGAAGAACCUUACCAGGUCUUGACAUCCCAUUGACCGCUAUGGAGACAUAGUUUUCCCUUCGGGGACAGUGGUGACAGGUGGUGCAUGGUUGUCGUCAGCUCGUGUCGUGAGAUGUUGGGUUAAGUCCCGCAACGAGCGCAACCCUUGUUCUUAGUUGCCAUCAUUUAGUUGGGCACUCUAAGGAGACUGCCGGUGACAAACCGGAGGAAGGUGGGGAUGACGUCAAAUCAUCAUGCCCCUUAUGACCUGGGCUACACACGUGCUACAAUGGACGGUACAAACGGUUGCCAACCCGGCGAGGGGGAGCUAAUCCGAUAAAACCGUUCUCAGUUCGGAUUGUAGGCUGCAACUCGCCUACAGU